RNAcentral lists this ribosomal RNA (253 nucleotides) under uncultured bacterium. RNAcentral describes it as "partial 16S ribosomal RNA". It matches the Rfam family "Bacterial small subunit ribosomal RNA", at positions 524 to 776 of the family's 1533-position model. The record is from RNAcentral.
UACGUAGGUGACCAGCGUUGUCCGGAUUUACUGGGCGUAAAGAGCGCGCAGGCGGUCGUUCAAGUCGAGUGUGAAAGCCCCCGGCUCAACUGGGGAGGGUCAUUCGAUACUGAUCGACUCGAAGGCAGGAGAGGGAAGCGGAAUUCCCGGUGUAGUGGUGAAAUGCGUAGAGAUCCGGAGGAACACCAAAGGCGAAGGCAGUGUCCUGGGGAGUACCUGACGCUCAGGUGCGAAAGCCAGGGGAGCGAACGGG